Chelonoidis abingdonii (Abingdon island giant tortoise) is the source of this 389-nucleotide non-coding RNA. Lineage: Eukaryota; Metazoa; Chordata; Testudines; Testudinidae. The record is from RefSeq and is a predicted model, not a curated record.
CAAGUUGGAAUAUUUAUUAAAUCAUCACUACUGUCAACCACCAAAUCUCAUCAGACUUCACUGAACAAACCAAGUUUAAAAUUUGUCAAGCAGCAGGGCCAGUUGCUAAGGGUGACAGUGCACAGGAAGGAUUAAAAGUGAACAAUGACUCAAGUGAAAGUAUACAUCAGAUUACUGGGAGCCUAUCUGUUCAUCAGUCUUCAUGUUCAGGGGCGAAAUCUAGACAGCAUGCUCCAUGGCACAGGAAUGAAGACAAAUCCUGACCAGAAGAAACAGGCAAAUGGAGUAACAUUGGCUCCAGAGGAUACCUUACCUUUUCUACAGUGCUACUGUUCAGGACAUUGUCCCGAUGAUGCUGUUAAUAAUACAUGCAUGUAAAGGGCAUUGCU